This is a long non-coding RNA of Megachile rotundata (alfalfa leafcutting bee), 883 nucleotides long. RefSeq lists it as uncharacterized. The record is from RefSeq and is a predicted model, not a curated record. NCBI's taxonomy places the organism in Eukaryota, Metazoa, Arthropoda, Insecta, Hymenoptera, Megachilidae.
AACAAUUUUUAUAUAAACAUACACUCACAAAUGUUUAUAUAAACAUAAGCUCAUAAGUGCUUGAUUAAAAGUUAUUGAAAAAAAUGGCGGUCACCAGUUAAUCUUUUGAUGAAACAUUUAACAGCCCAUGUUUACCUAACAUUUUUAUUUACACAUGCUAGUUUUUCCUACAAAGCGAGAACGUAUCGAAAAGCAAUCCAAAGUCAUUUAAUAAGUCUUUAACCCCUUAACCUACAAUUUUCUAGGCAGCUGCGUCAUGCAUAGCUAAUUACCACAAUAUGAAGUAAGGUUAAAAAGUUAGGUUUAGUAUUCAAAGAUUAGAAGGGAACCCAAAGUUCAAUUGCGAUGAAAAUACGAGUGUGGCUCAUCACGAAUGCGUCACGAGUGAUAUAAAGGCAAAGGGUUAUCUUAAGCUUUCUUCUUACAAAAUAAUCAUAUUUCUUCUGAAGUAUGUUCUCGACGAAGUAUGUUCUGUAAAAAGGGAGACGUAUUCCAUACAACGUUUGGUAUAUCAUGGACUUAUAGUUUAUGCUGUUUAUCCUGCAAGGAUUUGGUUAUAUAAUACCUAUUUCGAUGCAAAUAGUCGCAAAAUGGCGGAAAUAUCCGCUUAGUGCGUAAGCUGAUAUUCGAUAAAAAAUUGUUCGCACAGAACGAAAGUAUGACGUGAUACGACAGUGAAUGUAUUGAAAUACUGUGUCAAAAAGAAAUUAUAUGCAAUAAAAUUGAAAUUAUAUGUUACUGUAGUGAUAAGUUUAAGUAAGUUCUACCGUAAAUGUCAUUAAAAUAUCAUCAAACUAAAUUAGUUCAUGGGAAAGUAGUUCAUUGUGUCAAUAGGUUUUAAGACCAAAUUAUGUACUUUAUUGUAUUUAAAAAAUUUAGAAUA